Molecule: ribosomal RNA, 497 nt
Filed under: uncultured bacterium
Lineage: Bacteria
Description: partial 16S ribosomal RNA
Rfam family: Bacterial small subunit ribosomal RNA
Source: RNAcentral
GACGAACGCUGGCGGCGUGCCUAAUACAUGCAAGUAGAACGCUGAAGAGAGGAUCUUGCUCUUCUUGGAUGAGUUGCGAACGGGUGAGUAACGCGUAGGUAACCUGCCUGGUAGCGGGGGAUAACUAUUGGAAACGAUAGCUAAUACCGCAUAAAAUUGAUUAUUGCAUGAUAAUUAAUUGAAAGAUGCAACUGCAUCACUACCAGAUGGACCUGCGUUGUAUUAGCUAGUUGGUGAGGUAACGGCUCACCAAGGCGACGAUACAUAGCCGACCUGAGAGGGUGAUCGGCCAAACUGGGACUGAGACACGGCCCAGACUCCUGCGGGAGGCAGCAGUAGGGAAUCUUCGGCAAUGGGGGGAACCCUGACCGAGCAACGACGCGUGAGUGAAGAAGGUUUUCGGAUCGUAAAGCUCUGUUGUAAGAGAAGAACGGGUGUGAGAGUGGAAAGUUCACACUGUGACGGUAUCUUAACAGAAAGGGACGGCUAACUACGUG